GAUGAAAGCUGGCGGCGUGCUUAACACAUGCAAGUCGAACGAAGCAUUUAGAACGGAUUACUUCGGUUUGAAGUUCUUUAUGACUGAGUGGCGGACGGGUGAGUAACGCGUGGGUAACCUGCCUUGUACUGGGGGAUCGCAGCUGGAAACGGCUGGUAAUACCGCAUAAGCGCACAAUGUUGCAUGACAUGGUGUGAAAAACUCCGGUGGUAUAAGACGGACCCGCGUCUGAUUAGCUAGUUGGUGAGAUAACAGCCCACCAAGGCGACGAUCAGUAGCCGACCUGAGAGGGUGACCGGCCACAUUGGGACUGAGACACGGCCCAGACUCCUACGGGAGGUAGCAGUGGGGAAUAUUGCACAACGGAGGAAACUCUGAUGCAGCGACGCCGCGUGAGUGAAGAAGUAAUUCGUUAUGUAAAGCUCUAUCAGCAGGGAAGAUAGUGACGGUACCUGACUAAGAAGCUCCGGCUAAAUACGUGCCAGCCGCCGCCGUAA
This 497-nucleotide ribosomal RNA is filed under the name uncultured bacterium. Its description in RNAcentral is "partial 16S ribosomal RNA". It matches the Rfam family "Bacterial small subunit ribosomal RNA", at positions 28 to 523 of the family's 1533-position model. The record is from RNAcentral.